AUGAUUUCUUGCGUAGAAUAGGAUACUCCAUCGCAUCUAAAUGUUGGUGAUGUGCUGAUCCUAAGGAGGAGUCUUUAGUUCAUUUAUUCUUCACUUCAAAUGCAGCUAAGAGUGUCUGGAGUUAUUUCCUAAAGAGAGCAGGAAUUCAAAUAGAAGGGUUGUCUAUACAUCAAGCAAUUACAAAAUGCUGGACGACUUUAGUUAUACCUAGAUUGAAGUCAGUCUUCCAAGCUUUACCUGCAUGCAUUGUAUAGGAGUUAUGGAAGAGAAGAAAUAGUUUGAAAUAUGGAGAAGCAGUGUCAGUUAGCAGAGUUAUUUACCAAGUUUCAUCAACGCUGCAAUCACUAGUUCAACUGAAAAAACCAGGAUUACAUGUUCCUCACAAAUGGCUUGACUUACUGACAAUGAUGGAGCCAUACACACCUUGACUGAAGUUCGAUAAAGUGCUAUGGGAAUUUCCCCCAAGAGGAUGGAUAAAAGUAAAUACGGAUGGAGCAUGCAGAGGGAAUCCAGGGAGAAGUUCAAUUGGAUUUUGUUUAAGAGAUGAAAUAGGUGACUUGAUAUAUGCAGAAGCAAGAGAAAUUAAGGAGGGCUCUAACAAUGAAGCUGAGGCAACGGCAAUAGUAGAGGCAAUGAGAAUGUGCAAAUCAAUGAACUUCAACAAUGUUUGGCUUGAGACAGAUUCAAUGAUGCUCCAAAUAAUAAUAGAUGAUGAGGCAAUAGCAAUAGUAGAGGCAAUGAGAAUGUGCAAAUCAAUGAACUUCAAUAAUGU
Molecule: long non-coding RNA, 772 nt
Filed under: Nicotiana benthamiana
Lineage: Eukaryota; Viridiplantae; Streptophyta; Magnoliopsida; Solanales; Solanaceae
Description: long non-coding RNA (NBEN_LNC008205)
Source: RNAcentral